CUUGAGGGCCACAAACUCGAGGCAUUUACCGCAGCUUAUGCUGAACUUGAAUCAACUCUUUCUGGUUUGAACGUUCUCGUGGAGACCUACUUCGCUGAUAUCCCUGCUGAAGCAUACAAGACCUUAACUUCGUUGAAGGGUGUGACCGCCUAUGGAUUUGAUUUGGUUCGUGGCACCAAGACCCUUGAUUUGGUCAAGUCAAGUUUCCCCGCCGGAAAGUACCUUUUCGCUGGUGUUGUUGACGGAAGGAACAUCUGGGCCAA
This 263-nucleotide long non-coding RNA is filed under the name Brassica napus (rape). RNAcentral's name for it is "long non-coding RNA (BNAP_LNC001102)". The record is from RNAcentral. Lineage: Eukaryota; Viridiplantae; Streptophyta; Magnoliopsida; Brassicales; Brassicaceae.